CCUACGGGAGGCUGCAGUGGGGAAUAUUGCACAAUGGGGGAAACCCUGAUGCAGCGACGCCGCGUGAGUGAAGAAGUAUUUCGGUAUGUAAAGCUCUAUCAGCAGGGAAGAAAAUGACGGUACCUGAUUAAGAAGCCCCGGCUAACUACGUGCCAGCAGCCGCGGUAAUACGUAGGGGGCAAGCGUUAUCCGGAUUGUCUGGGUGUAAAGGGAGCGUAGACGGCUGCGCAAGUCUGAAGUGAAAUGCCGGGGCUUAACCCCGGAACUGCUGUUGAAACUGUGGAGCUAGAGUGCAGGAGAGGUAUGUGGAAUUCCUGGUGUAGCGGUGAAAUGCGUAGAUAUUACGAGGAACUCCAGUUGCGAAGGCAGCUUACUGGACUGUAACUGACGUUGAGGCUCGAAAGCGUGGGUAGCAAACAGGAUUAGAUACCCUUGUAGUC
This 440-nucleotide ribosomal RNA is filed under the name uncultured bacterium. RNAcentral describes it as "partial 16S ribosomal RNA". It matches the Rfam family "Bacterial small subunit ribosomal RNA", at positions 338 to 795 of the family's 1533-position model. The record is from RNAcentral.